UUUCCACAAUGGGCGAAAGCCUGAUGGAGCAACGCCGCGUGCAGGAUGAAGGCCUUCGGGUCGUAAACUGCUUUUCUCUGUGACGAUUAUGACGGUAGCAGAGGAAUAAGGGUCGGCUAACUACGUGCCAGCAGCCGCGGUAAUACGGAGGGUGCAAGCGUUAUCCGGAUUCACUGGGUUUAAAGGGUGUGUAGGCGGGCUGUUAAGUCAGUGGUGAAAUCUCCGGGCUCAACCCGGAAACUGCCAUUGAUACUAUCAGUCUUGAAUUUUGUUGAGGUAGGCGGAAUAUGUCAUGUAGCGGUGAAAUGCUUAGAUAUGACAUAGAACACCGAUUGCGAAGGCAGCUUACUAAGCAAAUAUUGACGCUGAGGCACGAAAGCGUGGGGAUCAAACAGG
This 396-nucleotide ribosomal RNA is filed under the name uncultured bacterium. RNAcentral describes it as "bacterial SSU rRNA". It matches the Rfam family "Bacterial small subunit ribosomal RNA", at positions 363 to 776 of the family's 1533-position model. The record is from RNAcentral.